This 253-nucleotide ribosomal RNA is filed under the name uncultured bacterium. RNAcentral's name for it is "partial 16S ribosomal RNA". It matches the Rfam family "Bacterial small subunit ribosomal RNA", at positions 524 to 776 of the family's 1533-position model. The record is from RNAcentral.
UACGUAGGGCGCACGCGUUGUCCGGAAUUAUUGGGCGUAAAGAGCUCGUAGGUGGCGUGUCGCGUCUGCCGUGAAAGCCCAUGGCUUAACUGUGGGUCUGCGGUGGAUACGGGCAGGCUGGAGGCUGGUAGGGGCAAGCGGAAUUCCUGGUGUAGCGGUGAAAUGCGCAGAUAUCAGGAGGAACACCGGUGGCGAAGGCGGGUUGCUGGGCCGACACUGACGCUGAGGCGCGAAAGCCAGGGGAGCGAACGGG